AAGCACAGCAGGCUCCAGCGCAGCAGCGCGUCCAUGUCUGCGGGGGCACCGUCCUCUUCCACGGGCGACUCUGCAACAACACCUGCGCGUAACUCUACUGGACAUUUAUUUCUUCUCAGCAGUGGAAAAGUGGAAGGCCUGGGAUGAGAUUGUUGAAAGAUUCGACAAGAAAUGGCAGAGAUCACAGGAAUGCGAGGAAGAAGUUGCGGGGGUGCCUGGCCCAGGAGUGGGAUUUUGGUGUAAAGUAGUAACAAGUAAACUCACGCAGCUCUCAGCAGCAUAUCUCCACUUGACAUGACAGCUCGGCCCACGAUGGCUGCUGCAGCGUUGUCUGUCGUGUUUGCAGCUACUAUGGCACCUUUACCAAACUGAGGAAAGCCAACCCCACCUGCUGGUAUUGUCACUCCAGGCAAGUACACUGAGGCACCACCAAGUACCUAAGAGAAACAUUUUGUUUUAAGUCAGGGAUAAAACACUCUACUAAAUCUACUCUCUCAAAGAGUAGAAAAUAAAUUAAUAUGCUGUAUCCUCUUGGCUGUACCACUGGGUGUAAAUCAACCAAUCUUGACCAUUCUAUUUCAUAUUGCAAUGGAAAAAAAUGUAGUUUAUUAUAUAUAUACUAUACCUAA
This is a long non-coding RNA of Plodia interpunctella (Indianmeal moth), 629 nucleotides long. RefSeq lists it as uncharacterized. The record is from RefSeq and is a predicted model, not a curated record. NCBI's taxonomy places the organism in Eukaryota, Metazoa, Arthropoda, Insecta, Lepidoptera, Pyralidae. The transcript has 3 exons.